Molecule: ribosomal RNA, 255 nt
Filed under: uncultured bacterium
Lineage: Bacteria
Description: partial 16S ribosomal RNA
Rfam family: Bacterial small subunit ribosomal RNA
Source: RNAcentral
CGUAGGGUGCGAGCGUUGUCCGGAAUUACUGGGCGUAAAGAGCUCGUAGGUGGUUUGUCGCGUCGUCUGUGAAAUUCCGGGGCUUAACUUCGGGCGUGCAGGCGAUACGGGCAUAACUUGAGUGCUGUAGGGGAGACUGGAAUUCCUGGUGUAGCGGUGAAAUGCGCAGAUAUCAGGAGGAACACCGAUGGCGAAGGCAGGUCUCUGGGCAGUUACUGACGCUGAGGAGCGAAAGCAUGGGUAGCAAACAGGAUU